UCAGUAAGAACAAGCUCGGUGUGCCAUUUCCUUGUCUGUAGCCAUGUCUAUGGGCCUUUGAGUUGGCCACCUGGGUGAGGACCUCAUUUUUCUA
Mandrillus leucophaeus (drill) is the source of this 94-nucleotide microRNA precursor. The record is from Ensembl. NCBI's taxonomy places the organism in Eukaryota, Metazoa, Chordata, Mammalia, Primates, Cercopithecidae.